Molecule: small nuclear RNA, 322 nt
Filed under: Octodon degus (degu)
Lineage: Eukaryota; Metazoa; Chordata; Mammalia; Rodentia; Octodontidae
Description: 7SK RNA (ENSODEG00000023025.1)
Rfam family: 7SK RNA
About the family: 7SK was discovered as an abundant small nuclear RNA in the mid-70s but a possible function has only recently been suggested. Two independent studies have found that 7SK RNA binds the CDK9/cyclin T complex (known as elongation factor P-TEFb).
Source: Rfam by way of RNAcentral
GAAUGUGAGCAAGACCUGGCUGUACCAUGUCACCCCACUGAUCACCAGAGUGGAUUUAGCUGAUCUGGCUGGAUGGGCGGGUGACCCCUCCCAACCUCACCACCCCAUGGGUGUCCCUCUUGAAGUUGUGUGCUGGCUUGGUCAAAGAGGAUGACCCCUCGGAUAGAGGAGGGCCAUUUCCUUGGCCAGGGGUACUCGAGAAGCUGUGCUCCCCUGUUGAAACCCACAAACAAGCUCCCAAGUUAGGUACCAAAGAGCACACCAUUCUUUGUUUACUAACAGUUACUUUUAGGGGCUGGAGAGAUGGCUCAGUGGUCUAAAG